CCUACGGGAGGCAGCAGUGAGGAAUAUUGGUCAAUGGACGAGAGUCUGAACCAGCCAAGUAGCGUGAAGGAUGACUGCCCUAUGGGUUGUAAACUUCUUUUAUAAAGGAAUAAAACGAGGCACGUGUGCCUUUUUGCAUGUACUUUAUGAAUAAGGAUCGGCUAACUCCGUGCCAGCAGCCGCGGUAAUACGGAGGAUCCGGGCGUUAUCCGGUUUUAUUGGGUUUAAAGGGAGCGUAGAUGGGUUGUUAAGUCAGUUGUGAAAGGUUGCGGCUCAACCGUAAAAUUGCAAUUGAUACUGGCAGUCUUGAGUACAGUUGAGGUAGGCGGAAUUCGUGGUGUAGCGGUGAAAUGCUUAGAGAUCACGAAGAACCCCGAUUGCGAAGGCAGCUUACUAAACUGUGACUGACAUUGAUGCUCGAAAGUGUGGGUAUCAAACAGGAUUAGAUACCCUGGUAGUC
RNAcentral lists this ribosomal RNA (460 nucleotides) under uncultured bacterium. RNAcentral describes it as "partial 16S ribosomal RNA". It matches the Rfam family "Bacterial small subunit ribosomal RNA", at positions 338 to 795 of the family's 1533-position model. The record is from RNAcentral.